RNAcentral lists this microRNA (21 nucleotides) under Chlamydomonas reinhardtii. RNAcentral's name for it is "cre-miR1160.2". Lineage: Eukaryota; Viridiplantae; Chlorophyta; Chlorophyceae; Chlamydomonadales; Chlamydomonadaceae. The record is from miRBase by way of RNAcentral.
UGACAAGGAAGCAGAGCGGAU